GACGAACGCUGGCGGCGUGCUUAACACAUGCCAGUCGAACGGAAAGGCCCUGCUUUUGUGGGGUGCUCGAGUGGCGAACGGGUGAGUAACACGUGAGUAACCUGCCCUUGACUUUGGGAUAACUUCAGGAAACUGGGGCUAAUACCGGAUAGGAGCUCCUGCUGCAUGGUGGGGGUUGGAAAGUUUCGGCGGUUGGGGAUGGACUCGCGGCUUAUCAGCUUGUUGGUGGGGUAGUGGCUUACCAAGGCUUUGACGGGUAGCCGGCCUGAGAGGGUGACCGGCCACAUUGGGACUGAGAUACGGCCCAGACUCCUACGGAAGGCAGCAGUGGGGAAUAUUGCACAAUGGGCGGAAGCCUGAUGCAGCAACGCCGCGUGCGGGAUGACGGCCUUCGGGUUGUAAACCGCUUUCGCCUGUGACGAAGCGUGAGUGACGGUAAUGGGUAAAGAAGCACCGGCUAACUACGUG
Molecule: ribosomal RNA, 468 nt
Filed under: uncultured bacterium
Lineage: Bacteria
Description: partial 16S ribosomal RNA
Rfam family: Bacterial small subunit ribosomal RNA
Source: RNAcentral